RNAcentral lists this ribosomal RNA (466 nucleotides) under uncultured bacterium. RNAcentral describes it as "partial 16S ribosomal RNA". It matches the Rfam family "Bacterial small subunit ribosomal RNA", at positions 28 to 507 of the family's 1533-position model. The record is from RNAcentral.
GACGAACGCUGGCGGCGUGCUUAACACAUGCAAGUCGAACGGAAAGGCCCUGCUUGCAGGGUACUCGAGUGGCGAACGGGUGAGUAACACGUGGGUGAUCUGCCCUGCACUUCGGGAUAAGCUUGGGAAACUGGGUCUAAUACCGGAUAGGAGCCAUCUUUAGUGUGGUGGUUGGAAAGUUUUUUCGGUGUAGGAUGAGCUCGCGGCCUAUCAGCUUGUUGGUGGGGUAAUGGCCUACCAAGGCGGCGACGGGUAGCCGGCCUGAGAGGGUGUACGGCCACAUUGGGACUGAGAGACGGCCCAGACUCCUACGGGAGGCAGCAGUGGGGAAUAUUGCACAAUGGGCGCAAGCCUGAUGCAGCGACGCCGCGUGGGGGAUGAAGGCCUUCGGGUUGUAAACUCCUUUCGCUAGGGAAGAAGCUUUUUUGUGACGGUACCUAGAGAAGAAGCACCGGCUAACUACGUG